UUUUCUUUUAUGUUUUAUCACUCUAUUGGGUCGUGGUUGUCUGGAUGCUGGAAUAUUUGCUUUAUAUAUAAAGCGGGACGAAAGCCUGUUUCGAGGGCAGAAUCCACAUCGCAAGUCCUAGUGAUCUGGGCAGCACGGCAUCACGGUGCACCAAUAAGUCCAAGUCCAGUCACAAAGAUUCCCACCCGCCUCCAAACAACGAGGGGACUUCUCGGACGAUUUACGAGCCGAAGUCCGCUCGCAUGCCGCAUGACCGGAUGUGCCACGCGGCCCACCCUCGUACGAUACUUUGGUGGAGAGGUCAGCUUGACUACUACGAGCUGACGUUCACCAAGUAUGUUCAAGCAACCAGCUUUAACGAUGCGCGUUAUACCAUUGACGUCAUCCGGUCAGCAACUACGGGUCCAUCCAUGAAGUAUCUUCCUUCUUCUUAGAUAAGAUCAUUGGUCAUCCAUUCUCGUUGAACAUGAAGAUAAUCAAUUGUGACAAGUACGAAAACAACAUGGACCCCAUGAUCUGGAUCUCAGAUUACAUCCUCACAAUCCAGGCCCUUAAGGGCUCGUUUGGUUAAGGGGGAUUGGGGAGGAUUUGAGAGGAAAAUCCUCGGGGGGUCCAGAAACCCCACAGAUCCUCACGCGCCCAUUUGGUAGGAGGGGUUUGAUUAGCCCAAUCCCCUCUGGUCCCCUUCAAUCCCUUCCUAUCCAUGUGUUUCAAAACCCUCCUCGGGGGACUAGUGGAAGCAAAACCCCGGGGAUUUGAGAGGAUUGGGUGAAACAAAGGGAUUCACCCAAUCCCGUGAAAUCCCCCCUCUCAAAUCCUCCCCAAUCCCCCUUAACCAAACGAGGCCUAAUGAUGAUGACUAUCACGCAGGGAAGCAUCUUCCCCUGAUGCUGGAAGGAUCAGCACAAGGCAUAGCUUCACACCGUGCCACCCGACUCGAUUAGAAGUUGGGAUAAGUUUUAGGUUCAGUUGAUGGAAAAUUUCUGUGGUACUUAUGUCCGGCCUGCCGAUACAAGUGACUGAGCAUCAUGAAGCAAGGGAAGAACGAAUCAGUAGAUAGGUGACUCGAUUCCUGAAAAAUAAGAACCAGAUCUUUGUGUAAAACAACGUCGAGGCAUUGCCACAUUUAAGCACAACUCUGUUGAUGAGUUCCUCUCCAAGGACUUGGGUCACUUCAAAACCAAGACAGUGCUAGAGCUCAUGGAGAUGAUGACCAUAUUUUGUGCUGGUGACAGGGACAAUUCUAGGGGGGACGAGGGGGGGGGGCUGGACCCCCCCUAACAAAUUAAUUUUUCUACUAUAAUAGUGAUUGUUGUAGCCGAAAAAUUUCAUUUCAUAUGAACUUUGCCCCCUUCAUGUACAGACUUGCCCCCCUAUGCUUGCAUGUUAGCUUCGUCCCUGGCUGGUGAGGACAUAUGACUCAUAAAAACAAUCGUGGGGAGGACCCACAACCAAUGGGAAUGGGAAGUCAAGGCACAACCAUAGAAACAAGUACUAGAACAACGAGGAUGUAGAAGAUGACGAGGUCAACACCGAAUUUAAUAAUCAACCCCCAUCUAGCGGUGGCAAGAAGAUGAAGGGGCUGUUUGGAUUGUGACUAUCUUUGCCAUAUCUUACCACAUUAUUUUUGCCACACUUGCCUUACUUGAGUUGCUCAAAUUGUCAGCCACACAUUGGCUUGCCUAAGAGAAUCUUGCCACACUUUUUGUGUCUAUGACAUGUGGGGUUUAGUACUCAUUAAAAAAUGCUUGCCUUAGGUGUGGCUAGAACCAAACACCCACCUAACUUGGUCAAACUUGCCUAAGGUAAGUUGUGGCAAAGUGUGGCAAGGCGUGGCUAGUAACCAAACAACCCCGAAGUUUUAAGGAAAGAAGGGUCAGGGCGGCAACUCAACCCGGGAUAAGAUCAUGGAUCGUACUUGCGACGUCACAAUACUAAGAAAGAGGAUGAUCCUCCAGCAACCCACACAAACUAGGACUGCUAGGUCCAUAAGAAAGUUGCGCAGUUCGGCAAAGGCAAUGCCGAUAGACGUGGCUGACUAGGAUCUAUAACCCUAGCCCCUUGAUAUGUUAUAUAGGGUAGGGGUUGGGUUCGCCGGUAGAACACAACACAAUCCUAGGUAGUCACAUGUACUUUUUACACACCCCAAUCGCAAUAUACACAAGUAGGAUUAGGGUACUACCUCGUUCGCGAGUGCUAGAACUUGGCUAAGGAUUGGACUCCUGUUAGCAUCCACCCUAAUUGACGAACUGCGAUACCCUAUCGAGGGAUCUUCCCUAAUUGUAUUUAACAAUAUUGAAAUUUUCUAAUCAUCUUAUAUUUAUGAACAAAAAAAGUAUAUGAUGGUGGACGCGAGGGAGGGACAAUACAAUUAAGUCAAGAGGCGGAGUUAGACAAUGUGGCCAAACACAAAAUAUGAAUGGGGGGUCAAAGGCUAUAUGUUUUCUAAUCUAAGGAUUCCCCAAGAACCACUCUUCUUGUUUUUCACCGAGGUCUGGGUUUAGCCCAUGGCCCCUAUAGUGCACAUAGCUUUGGCCCUGAUUAAGUCACAUGAUGUAGUGAAUGCAUUUGCUUUAUCCUCUCUAUUUUCCCUUUUGGCAAAUAAUUUUUUGUUUACCCCACUGAGGUGGCAUAUCAACCUAUGUUGGUCUAAUCUUUUUAGAUAUACUGAGAAUUUUUAGCAUGUGCUGUUUCAAGGUAAAAAUAUCCACACUUUGUCACGUAAUGAGUUUGCAACAUCUUGUAUGAUUAGAUCAUUCAAUGUGAUGGCAGUUUAUGGGUAAAUACUAUUGAUGUGAAAAUCCUUAAGAAUAUUUGAAAUAAUACUUCAUUGGUAUUGCCUUAGAGACCAAAAUAGCUUCUAAGUACCCCCUCUGUCCCCAUAUCAUAAGAUCGUUUUGCAAGCUGUUUUAGCUUGCAACAAUUUGCAAAAUGAUCUUAUAUUAUGGGACGGAGGGAGUAUUAUAUAAAAUUCCACACCAUCAAGUUUAAAUCUCUCUCAAUCACACGAAUAAACAAACAUAGCAAAAACCAUUAGAUUGACAACCAGGGCCGGUCCUGAGAUUUUUGAGGCCCGGGGCGAAAUUAAAUUUAGGGGCCCUUAACAUAAACUCAAACAAGUAUUGCAAACGAUAUUUUAAAUCGCUAAUCAAUGAAAAUAUCACAAAAAAAUUCUCUUAAUUAUAAGUCUCUUCUUUACUGAUAUGCGGAGUAGCAUUUUAUUAAGUUUAUCCCAAUUCUUUGAUCCUAAUCAGGUAUAGGAAAAACUGGUACCUGGUCAAGACUAAUGGAUGAUAAUGCAGAUGAUCACUAUGUUGUCAUCCAUUUAGAUGUCAGCUUGUAUUAUGUAUUGCUCUUACCUUGUGGAUUUGUUUAAUCGGCAAUAUCAAUUAUAGGCAAGUCGCCAAACAUACAUAUUAAUAACUGCAAUGACACCUAUCUCUAUUCGACACUCGUAAAUCGAUUAUUAGUGUCCAACUGCAAAAACGCAGAGGCCAUAUCGAUGAUCAUUCAUAAAUUUUAAGCAACCAUCAUGAUAAAAUUUCUUGUUGGGGACAGAUAUAGACACCAAAAUUUCCUAUUGCAACCAUUAUAGUUAUAGUAAUAGAGAUUAGAGACAUACCUUCUCUUCUAUAACUAUAAUGGUUCCCGUAUGAUCUAGCCUCCAUGCGAGUCAGUUUGCUCGCAUGAGACGCAGGGACUGAUUAUGUAGUUCAGUAUAGAGUUCAGCCACCUCAGGCUUAGAUCUCCUCCGACCCGAGGCAACACCAUGCACGCAUAGUAGAUGGAUAUCAAGCGUCGAUCUUGAUCUAUUCUUGCCCAUGGGUGGUAUAGUCGCUUCCCGUUAGUCAUGUUUUUCUCAGAAAUUGGCCACACAAUUUUCGGCUUGUGGAUUAAGGAAGGCAUUUUUCUACUGAAAGAAUAAGGAAAGAAAUUAAGAGCGGAUUUUUAUCAUAACUACGCCUAAUUAAUCAAAUGCAAUACCUGCUCUAUUAAUUAAUCACAAGCGCUCUCAAUCGUACUACUAACAUGAAGGAAGGAAGGCGAGGAACAUCAGGGAAAGGUUGUAGGAGUAGGACGCCAUUUUAUGGGCCAUGUUGCUUGGCCAAUUAAGAGAAGAGCUGGGGGGGCUCUUGGCACCUGGGGGCUCGGGGCAGCCGCCCCGCUCCCCCCCCCUCAGGGCCGGGCCUGUUGACAUCUCCCAAUAUUAGAAGGUGUCGCAUGCUGAUAUGUUUGACAACAUUUGCUAUUUUUUAAGAGGAUACACCAUUUCCUUUUUGGUUAGUAUUUACUAGAAGGAUUAAGCGCGCGUUUCUGCGUCUUUGGUGUUGUUGUGUUUUUACAAAAUAAAUUAUCCUAUUUGUUUUUAAAAUAUAGGUGUAAUAGAUUUUUUUUAAAGUCAAAGUGCUUCAAGUUUGAGCAAAUUUGUAGAGAACUAUAUUAAUAUUAAUAAUAUCAAGUUGCGAUCAUUAAAUUCAUCAUGAAAUAAAUUUUCAUAUUUUAUUUAUUUAGUAUUUUGGAUGCUCAUGACGAUAUUUUUUACUUCCGAACUUAGUCAAACUUAAAUAAAUUUGACUUAGAAAACACCUUAUAUCUUGGAACCGAGGGAGAAUUUGAUUUCGCUAGUGUGAGUGGCGAUGGCCUAGUUAUUUUAUUUUAUUUAUAAUGUGGUGUUUUGAUGGAUUUUUCAUGGUGUGAUUCUGUAUUAUGUGCUAAUCAGCCGAUAUUUACGUCAGAAAAUUUUCUGCGUCACUAUCUGCAUGUACUAUUUUGAUGUUUCAAUAAUAUAUUUUUAGGUGGCGAGGGAUGCACGGGAUUGAUGUUAUUAUAAAUCGAUUGCUAUCGAUUAAUUUUAAAAAUUCUUGACCAAGUCAAAAUCAUGAACCCAAUUACAAAUCAAAUACCUCAAUCGAAUCAAAAAGCUUCAAAAUUAAGGAGCAUAGCGAAUUAAAAGAAUUAAAAAGAGAUUGUUAAAAAAUUGUUGACCCAGUCAAAAUUGGAUGACCAAACUCCAAUUGGAGGCAUGAGUUGAUUGUGAGGCCUCCAAUCCUAUAAAGAUUAGUCAUAUAGUAUAUAUAUUGGCAGGGUUGGUGCAAUGGGGUUGUUGAUAGUCCUUUGUUAUUCAUUUUUUGUAUGUGUUCAAGACAUGCAUGGGUAAAUGAUAUAAAAUCUCAGCUAGGAAACAUAAUACCAAAUUGAAGUGGGUAUCUGAUUUGUUCAUUAGCUGGCGUAAGUGUUGGGACGAAAAUUUGAUUAAGCAUAUUUUCUACCCACAUGAUGCAGAGGAAAUCCUCAAGAUUCGCAUCCAAGCCUCUAAGGAUGAUGAUUUUGUUUUGUGGCACCAUGAAAAGAAUGGUAUUUUCUAUGUUAAAAGUGCGUACAAUUUUACGCUUAAAUUGAUUGAUAAUUGGGAUACUGUUGGACAAUCUAGUGGUGAACCAUAGGGGGUAAGGGGGAUUUGGAAGUUACUUUGGAAGGCUAAUAUCCCUCAGAAGAUCAUAACUUUUAUAUGGAAAUCUGCAACUAAUAGCUUGGCGGUCCAGAUGAAUAGAGUUAAGCACCAUUAGAUUGAGUCAGGUAUGUGUUUUAUUGUGGUGUAGAAAACAAAAGCACUUUUCAUGCUCUAGUAAAUUGCUCUAAGGCUCGGGCUGUGCGACUCGCACUAAGAGAGUUGUGGAACAUUUGAGAUGAGGAGCUCGGGUCCAAAGUGAUUAUUGAGUUUGUUGAAUGAGGUGAGCAUGGAGCAAUUAAAUUUUUUUUUGCAGCAUGCAUGGCAUUUGAGAAAUGAUUUAAUUAUUGGGAAGGGGAAAUAAUUCAUUAUUUCCUGUACUCGGUUUGUGGACAAUUAUUGGGGUAAGGAGAAGGUAAGGGGUGUUGUAGAUGUUUAUGCUCCGUUAAAAAACAUGUGGUGUGGACUCCUCCUCCUAUGGACCAUAUCAAGGACAAUGUUGAUGUCAGUUUUGUGGAGAGUACUAUUGUCGCGAGUGUGGGGGUUGUUGCUCGCAAUUUUUAUGGAGAAAUUAUUGUUUCUUCUAGGGAUUUUAUUGAUUGAUGUACCAAUGUGAAUGAAGCUGAGUUUCAAGCCUGCCUCACAGGACUUUAUAUAGGUAUCAUCCUUCACCAAUCUAUUAUUUUGAAGACUGACUAUGUGUUCGCACAUUUCUUUGUUGCCAAUGAGAAGCUUCAUAGGUUCUCGAUGGCUGAUCUGAUGAAUGAGGCUCUAAGCACUUAUCUUUGGAUUAAUUAAUAUAUGGGGUGUUUUUUUUAAAUGUGUGUUUUUGUUUGAGGUUGUAUGAAGCAGACUCGUUGGCACUGCAUUGUCACUUUGAACCCAUACACACCAUGGAUGUUCGUUUAAUUGCAGGUGUGUUGACAUGGGGAAGUGGAAGCGACUAGAGCAACUGAAAUCGUGCGACUCAUUUUGUUCGUGCGUGUUUGUUUGAAUCACCACACACAAAAAUUCGGCUUAAUGCGACGAUUCAAACGGACGUAUGUCCGUUUUUUCUCUGUCCGCGGCCUUUUCGAGGCCCAAAUUUGUGUCGCAUUUACGUCGGCGUGAACACUGGACGGACACGCGCGACGUCCGCCCUUCCUCCCUCCUGAGUCUUAGUCGGUGGCACACAUGCCAAUAUCCUUUUUCUCCCAUAGCCUUCGACUCACUAUGCCUCCCCACCUCCCAUCGCCGCUGCCCAGUUCCGUCGAUGUAGCCAGACAUCCAUCCAUAGAAAAGUCACACUCCCAGCGGCGUCAUCUGCCGCCGCCGCCUCCCAGUUCCUACCUUGUCUUGGUGGGGCUCGAGGCUCUUCACCGACGGGCUUCUUCCAGGAUCCCUGCAAGUUGUUUGUAGAUUUCCCUGCAAGGUACAAAUGGAUUCUGACGAUGAGUUCUUUUUCUACAACAUUCUUUGCGAUUUGGAUGAUUCUUCGUCUGAUGAGGAGGAGAUCGUGGAAGCUGCAUUGGCAGUCCAUGACCACCUAAGAAGGCAACGACCAUUGUUUAGGGGCUCGAUAUCGGGGCAGACGCCAACGUUGAAUCGUAACCGGGAGAGUGGUCAUUUCCUACUCUGGAACAACUACUUUGAGAACCCCGACCCUCUCUUGAAACAUCACAUGUUCCGGCGUUGUUUUCGUAUGACUAGGCAUGUGUUCAACCAUAUUCAGGAGGGAUGGUGAGCCACGGUAACUAUUUCGAGUGCAAGAUGGAUGCCCUUGGAAAAAUUGAUUUCUCCUCUUAUCAUAAAUGCACUUCUGCUAUUUGGAUGCUUGCAUACGGAGUUUUCGAUGAUCUAAAUGAUGAGUAUGUCUCGAUGAGUGAGUCCACCUGCCUUGAGUCCAUAUAUAAGAUCUGUAGGACUGUCAUAGUUGUGCUUGGGCUAGAUUACUUGGGAGAACCAAAUGGUGCUGAUACAACACGGUUGUUGGCGAUGAAUGCCAACAUGGGGUUCAGACGAUGGUUGGUAGCAUAGAUUGCAUGACUGGAAGUGGAAAAACUACAUGAGCAUGGAGGAGCGGCAACGUUUGCACAGUUUACCGAGUUUCAUCAUCACAUGUGUUAUUGGAAAACUUUCAUGCAGCUGCAAAAUAAUUUGGUUAAGCAUACGAUCACCUUUUCUUUUAAAUGCAUUUGAAACAAUUUAAUAUUUAUUUCGCUCGUAAAUCAUGAGAUAUUUGUGUGAUUUUUGAACUGUGUAAUAUUUAUAUUCUUAUUGAACUAUCUACUAUCAAAUUUUAUACAUAUAUGACAAAACGAUCAAAAAAUGGCCGCAAGCUAGCCAUGUGGAGGAAAAAAGGGUCGACACGUUGGACGCAUUGUCGACCUAAACAAAACAGAGGCAAACAUGUCGAUCCAAACGGAGAAAAAACAAAAAAAAUCCGCAUUUGUUUGGGUCACCUGGUAGGAGUUGCUGUUAAAUCACGAGCUCUAAUCCUCUAGAACCACAAAUAAUAGGUUGGACCGUGGUGCCGCGAAAGCAUGGACCACCGCAGCUAGCAUGAUUUGACAGCCAGUGCCAACUGAAGCAUUUUGUCAUGAUGGAUCAUGCUUACUUUGACCGUGAUAGAAUGGGCUAAGAAAAGGGACGACCCUACGCGUCGGUCGACGGUUUUUUCUAAAAGGUAUGUCCCUUUGACAAUGGUUUGUGACGAAUCUUUUUAAAAGAUUCGUCCUUUUGACAAUGGUUUGAUCUAGCAUCCAACAAUACCUAUCUCUCCUUACCAUUGCAACAAAGACAUUGAUGUAGAAUCCUUCUAUGUAACAAAUCAUAUGUUGUAGAAACAUUUGUAACAUAGAUUCUGUUACGAAAUUAUUACCUUUUCGUUUUAACUUUUUUGUGACAUGGUUGUUGUUGCGGAAAGACUUCUGUAACACAGAUGAUGUUGCAGAUUAUUGUUUGGUCUUAACUUUUUUAUAACUUGGAUGUUGCUGCGAAAAGACUUAUACAACCCAAAUUAUGUUGCAGAAAAAUUAUUAAGGUGGAAGAGGCACGUGUCGUCCGUGAAUUGAGUUGGGAGAAUUGGUGCCGUGACUCACGAUCCAAUCUAGGCGGAAGACUCGAAAGUUUCACAACAUUUAUCAUGUUGCAAUCAAGUGGUUUGCAACACCUAUUGUAUUACAUUAAUAUGUAUGUUGUGACGGUCUGAUGAAAUUUGAAUCUGACGGCUGCACAAGUCGUAUUCGAUUGGUUGAUUCUAAUCAUUUCCCUAAAAAAGGCCCGUAACACGAAACAAUGUGAAGCAAACAAGACAGUCUACAAUCAGUGCCCACAAAGCAUUUUUGCCACGUCGUAUGAUUGAUGGGUCCCACCUCUAACGGAACAUUCCAAAUGAACAUCCACAACACAAAAGCAAUGUUAAGCAACCUCACAUGUCUACAUUUCUUAGCCCCGUAGAGUAUGUUUUACAAAACCACCCCUAAUUAGGUAGGUCGUUGCGCAUAACAAAAAUGAAUUCUUAAAUUUUAAGAAUUCAUUUUUGUUAUGCGCAACGACCUACCUAAUCAUAAAUAGUUUGCUGAGAUGGACGGCCAAUGUUUCAUAAUUUUUUGGCAAACCGUUUAAUCAAGAUUUGUUUUCAGCUCACGAUGGUUGGAUCCUUCGGGCGCUGGUUGUGGUUUCUUUAUUCCGUGGGGGUUUCUGUAUCACUGGUCAUUUUCAAUGUAGUCUGGGGUCAUUUCCGCAAAAAAAAGAAUCAACUUUCAAGUUUAUCGAAAUUGCUACAAUCGGACUGAAUAGUGUUGGCUUUUAGUUUAAUACUCCCUCCAUCCCAAAAUUUUUGACUUAGAUUUGUCUAUAUAUAAAUGCAUCUAAUCACGUUUUAGUAUUUAGAUUCUUCCGUUCCUAAACAAAGCUAAGGCAAAAAAUUUGAAACGGAAAGAGUAUUAGUGAAUGGGGUUGCAAACAAUAUUUGUAAUGAACAAUCCUAUAGCCACUUGUUAUAUUCUUUCCAUUUCUGCAUUAAAAUAUUGCAUACAUACCAAAAGUUGAACUGAUGGUUAUAAAUAAUCUUCGCUUUGAAUGCUACGAUGAGUCUAGAUUAGGGAUGGCACCCGCGGGGUUUGUAUACGGGUGUAGCCGCCUCAUACCUUUAGUCGUCCUUUCUGAGCUUACUCAUCAUCCUUAUCCAUAUCCGUUAAUAGGUAUAAUUUUUCGUUAUAUUAGGAUAGACGGGUAUCUGUAGAUAAAUUUAUCCAUGUUUGCAAAGUAUCAAAUUGAGCAACUCAUGGUCAUAAACAACAACAUAUAAUCAUAAUCUAUAACAACUGAUUACAACAAAAACACAUAUUUAAUAAAGAACAUCACUUUCUCGUGAACAACAACACAACAAAACAACAUCACAAAUUCACUACAAAGUGUUUGCUAUAGAGAUCAUUUGAGUUCACAUAGAUUUUACAUGGAUACAUAGGUAUAUGGGUAUGCGUUAUAAUCUCAUACGCGUAUCCACUCUAUUCGAUGUUUCAGAUUUUAUUUAUUUAUAUAACCAUGUGUAACUUUUUUAUCAUAUUCUUACUCUCGUAUGGUUUUUUACCCACAUGAUGUAUGAGUAAGAGUAAUGCAUAUCCAUUGCCAACCCUAAUUAAUCCUACUAGUACUUGCGGUGAGUGGGUCCGACCCUAGAAGGUGCCAAAAAUGAAUGAGGAAACGAUUGUUGUGAGCUUGCUGACGUAUUUCUACCUUUCCUCCGUCAUUUUCUUUUUAUCUGCCCUCCGUCACCUUCUGACUUCUAGUAGAAGGGGUCAAAGCUCAAACUCAAGUCAUAAUAUCCGUUGGCUGUCUCCAACCGUAAAAAGAGCAACCGUCCAAGGGCGCCAUGAACACGCGGUUCCAAAGAAAAAGUUUCAGUUAAAGUUUUUCUCGCGGAGCGAGCGGGAAGAAGAGGCCAAGCGCCCAACCCUCUCGAAGUCCGGAUCCUUAGCUGUUAAGCAGAGCAGUGCAGUGCUUCCCUAAGUCGGUUUCGCUUCGCUUGACGCUCCCUUUAUUUAUUGCACUUUCAUGAUGAAGCCCGAUUUGCCUCCGCUGCACUGGUUUAAUGGCUGCUUAUUUAGACUAAUAUAAGCGAUUGCUGGCUUAAUCCGAGUUUGCUUCUUCUUCCGCGGUGCCUUGGUUGAUCGCGUCGAGGUUUUGAGGAACGGGGAGUAUAAAUUGCACCCGACAUGCUUCCCCUGCAAAACCUGAUGUGUGUGUCUGAACGCGUGCGAACCUCCGGAGCAAUGCUGNNNNNNNNNNNNNNNNNNNNNNNNNNNNNNNNNNNNNNNNNNNNNNNNNACAUGGACUACUCCAAGAUCCUCGCGGAGCCGGAGCCGAGCAACGUGAUGGGCCGGCUCCUGGGCAGCGACGGGAACGGACGGUUCCUGGGGUCGUGGAGCAUCGGAACGUCGCCGACGUCGUCUGCGUCGAGCACGUCGCUCGCCGGGGCCGGACCCGCCUCCGCUCCUCUGUUUCAUUGCGGUAGCGGCUUGAAGCAGAGCAGUGAGAGCUCUUCGCAUAGGGGUUACUAGCCAAGCCAAAGGUUAUCAACCUCAUUCCUGCCUCAUAAUAAACGAGCAAAAGGAGAAGACCGACGAAAUUCCCGCCUUUCGGAGCGCGUCGUACUACCGCAGAUCGUGAUGGUGGUUGGGGGCCCGGCGAAGGUCACUUUCUUGGACGGGGAUUAAGACGAGCCAGGGCCGAGAGAUGUGGAACUUUGGGUUCAAUUGCGUUCAUCAGGAAGCAACUAAGGACGAAGGUUUAGAUUUUCUUUUAGUAAAAACAUUCUUCUAGUGCCAUGCAGGUUCUUGGUUUCUAUUGAGGUCAUUUCCUAAACUGAAGCUCUCUAACUCAGGUAGCUGGCAAUGUUACUAGAGCUAGAUAGUAUUCAUUUUAAAUUUACUUGCAGGAGGAAAUAAAUCAUCUGUAAUGAAUAAGAUGCAUUAGUUAUCCAUUUAUUCAUAAUGACUUGUUGUGUAGAAAUGUGUUGUAUGGGCUAAGACCCUGUUUUUUGACUUUUGCUUAUGCUUUUCCAGCUUCUCCACUUUGACCAAAAAGCCAUAAAAUCUUAAAAUCUCAUAAGUAGGUGAUUUUGGAGCUUCUAUGGUUUUUGGAACCAAAUAUUGUUAUAUUAAUUUAUCAAAAGUCAUGAAAGCUCCAAAAGCAUCUAUUUUAGGAGCUUUUAUGGCUUUUUAGUCAAAGUGAAAAAGCUAAAAAACAGAAGUAAAAGCCCAAACAAACAGGGUCUAAGACUAUACUUUUCUUAGCUUAGCUUUUCAUUUUCCGUUCGGUCUCGCUUGUGAUAUCAAAUCCCAUAGGAAAUGUGUGACAUUUGGGAUAUUUUCAUGAAGAAUGAUCAACUAAUUUGAUUAAAUUUUACGAAAAGAAUUGGGCCAUUGUAGCAUGUGGAUAUUCAUGGCUAUUGGCCUAGUCCUUGAAAUUAAUUAAAGAAUUUAAUUAAAUUUCACAAAAUGUCAUGGGCUAUUGGUCUUGCUAACAUGUGUGACACACCAUAAGCGGCUACCCUAAGACCACUCACAAUAAGACGUCUCUUUACACUUCUCUUACUCCAUGGUAAGUGUUUACAUAAAACCAUCCCAAUAAAUUUUACAUGAUUGAUAUUUAUGAUGCUUGGCACAACGAUUAACUGAGUCUAAUUAAGUGAUAUUAAGACUUAUUGCAUACGAUUGUGUGUAGAGACGAUACCUAAAACAAGAAAUCGCUUCAUUUUCUCAUUAAUUACACAUCACAUUGACAUAAAUCUAACAUUAAGGGAUAAGACAUGGCGCGUAUGUGAAGCAGCAUGAGCGGUCUAAGAGGCUAAAGGGCAACUUUGAUCAAUUUGAUAAUGUGCCACAUCUUCCAUACUUCAAUAUGUACUACAACACAUGGGAUUGAUAUAUAUGGAUGAGUAGGCCCAAUACUCCUACAGGUUUCUCUAGGGGAUCAUAUAUCUGUGGCCCCAAAAUCCUUUUGGAGCGCACUAAUAAAAUGGAGGUUGUUGCGGGUACUCACAAAUUCGUAUUCAUCAUAUCCUAGCAUACAGAAAAUAUAUGGGAAGGGAUUUAGGGCACGCAAGUGCAAUGACAUGCAGUUUGCGGGCCAUUGAUCUGUAUCAAGAUCCGGAAAUUUGGGUUUGAAUUUCUUGUAUUUGCUAGUGUAUAUCACUCGUCAUAUACGUAUAUUCGCAUUGUAAAGCUAAACUAUUAUAUCUUUCUUGUGCGUCCCAUUUCUAACAUACACAUAUUUUAAUGAACAGUUCCUGUAACAGGUGGCUACAAAACGUUACGGUUGUGCUUAAAGUGUUCUUACGUUCUUCUAUCUCAUUAUUCUCUUGAAGUACAUUCUCCUUCUUUUGUUAGAAUACUUUCUUAGAACUAUUCUAGAAGAACCAUCACUGUAGAAGAGAACGGAUUGAAGCUAUUUACUGUGAAAUAGACACAAUCGAGAACAACUAAAAG
Molecule: long non-coding RNA, 12921 nt
Filed under: Hordeum vulgare
Lineage: Eukaryota; Viridiplantae; Streptophyta; Magnoliopsida; Poales; Poaceae
Description: long non-coding RNA (HVUL_LNC004822)
Rfam family: MIR1120/MIR1122 microRNA precursor family (bases 9244-9379)
Source: RNAcentral